AUUGAACGCUGGCGGCAGGCCUAACACAUGCAAGUCGAGCGAGAAAGCCCUUCGGGGUGAGUAUAGCGGCGGACGGGUGAGUAACGCGUAGGAAUCUACCUGGUAGUGGGGGACAACAUGUGGAAACGCAUGCUAAUACCGCAUACGACCUAAGGGUGAAAGUGGGGGACCUUCGGGCCUCACGCUACCAGAUGAGCCUGCGUAAGAUCAGCUAGUUGGUGGGGUAAAGGCUCACCAAGGCGACGAUCUUUAGCUGGUCUGAGAGGAUGAUCAGCCACACUGGGACUGAGACACGGCCCAG
Molecule: ribosomal RNA, 301 nt
Filed under: uncultured bacterium
Lineage: Bacteria
Description: bacterial SSU rRNA
Rfam family: Bacterial small subunit ribosomal RNA
Source: RNAcentral